Choloepus didactylus (southern two-toed sloth) is the source of this 383-nucleotide long non-coding RNA. RefSeq lists it as uncharacterized. NCBI's taxonomy places the organism in Eukaryota, Metazoa, Chordata, Mammalia, Pilosa, Megalonychidae. The record is from RefSeq and is a predicted model, not a curated record. The transcript is spliced from 2 exons.
CGCCGAGCCGCCCUUAAGUCGCCGCCGCGUUUGGCUGGUAAUUUUGCUUGUGGUCUGGGAGGUACGGGCAAGAGGAGCGGCCGGGAUGCCUUGUCGGAAGUUGGCAGGGACGAGUAGUCCAUGGAAACGACGGGCGCCGCCGAGGCCGUCCCCGAAGAACUGGUGAUCUUCAAAGAGGCCAUAAGAAGUCUAGCAAAGGAUGAACUGACUGCACCUGAGUUGUUUGAUAUUAUGUAUAGGUUGAGACAAAAACUCAACAGUUAAAAAAAUGACUCAUUUUUUGGAAGUAAGACCGCUUCAGAACUAAAAAAAAAAAAAGUCAUCAAAAAAGAGCAGUCAACACACUCCCUUUAUCCAGUGUAUGGCAAAAAUUAACUGAAUAA